GAUGAACGCUGGCGGCGUGCCUAAUACAUGCAAGUCGAGCGAACAGACGAGGAGCUUGCUCCUUUGACGUUAGCGGCGGACGGGUGAGUAACACGUAGGUAACCUACCUAUAAGACUGGGAUAACUUCGGGAAACCGGAGCUAAUACCGGAUAAUAUUUCGAACCGCAUUGUUCGAUAGUGAAAGAUGGCUUUGCUAUCACUUAUAGAUGGACCUGCGCCGUAUUAGCUAGUUGGUAAGGUAACGGCUUACCAAGGCAACGAUACGUAGCCGACCUGAGAGGGUGAUUGGCCACACUGGAGCUGAGACACGGUCCAGACUCCUACGGGAGGCAGCAGUAGGGAAUCUUCCGCAAUGGGCGAAAGCCUGACGGAGCAACGCCGCGUGAGUGAUGAAGGUCUUCGGAUCGUAAAACUCUGUUAUUAGGGAAGAACAAACGUGUAAGUAACUGUGCACGUCUUGACGGUACCUAAUCAGAAAGCCACGGCUAACUACGUG
RNAcentral lists this ribosomal RNA (497 nucleotides) under uncultured bacterium. RNAcentral describes it as "partial 16S ribosomal RNA". It matches the Rfam family "Bacterial small subunit ribosomal RNA", at positions 28 to 507 of the family's 1533-position model. The record is from RNAcentral.